This 534-nucleotide ribosomal RNA is filed under the name uncultured bacterium. RNAcentral describes it as "bacterial SSU rRNA". It matches the Rfam family "Bacterial small subunit ribosomal RNA", at positions 774 to 1297 of the family's 1533-position model. The record is from RNAcentral.
AGGUAAUAGAUACCCCGGUAGUCCACGCCCUAAACGAUGCACACUAGACCGGAGCGGCUCUGACGUCGUUCUGGUCGUAGAGAAAAAUUGAUAAGUGUGCCGCCUGGGGAGUACGGUCGCAAGGCUAAAACUCAAAGGAAUUGACGGGGGCUCACACAAGCGGUGGAGCAUGUUGCUUAAUUCGAAGCAACGCGAAGAACCUUACCUGGGUUUGACAUGCUUGGAUUAACUCCUGGAAACAGGAGCCACGCUCGCAAGAGUGGAACAAGCACAGGUGCUGCAUGGCUGUCGUCAGCUCGUGCUGUGAAGUGUCGGGUUAAGUCCCUUAACGAGCGCAACCCUUGUCGUUAGUUGCUAACAGGUAAUGCUGAGGACUCUAACGAGACUGCCGGUGUCAAACCGGAGGAAGGUGGGGAUGACGUCAAGUCCUCAUGGCCCUUACAUCCAGGGUUGCAAACGUGCUACAAUGGUGCGUACAGAGCGACGCAAGGCCGCAAGGCGGAGCAAAUCGCAAAAAACGCACCCACGUUCGGA